This 478-nucleotide ribosomal RNA is filed under the name uncultured bacterium. Its description in RNAcentral is "bacterial SSU rRNA". It matches the Rfam family "Bacterial small subunit ribosomal RNA", at positions 29 to 478 of the family's 1533-position model. The record is from RNAcentral.
AACGAACGCUGGCGGCGUGGAUAAGACAUGCAAGUCGAACGCUCAUUCAUCUGCAGCAAUGUGGGUGAGUGGGAGUGGCGCAAGGGUGCGUAACACGUGGGUAAUUUGCCGCGAAGUUGGGGAUAACUCGCUGAAAGGCGAGCUAAUACCGGAUGGGGUUGGGUGGUGGCAUCAUUGGCCAACCAAAGUUGGGGACCCGCAAGGGCCUGACGCUUCGCGAUAAGCCCGCGGCCUAUCAGCUAGUUGGUGAGGUAACGGCUCACCAAGGCUAAGACGGGUAGCUGGUCUGAGAGGACGACCAGCCACACUGGAACUGAGAGACGGUCCAGACACCUACGGGUGGCAGCAGUCGAGAAUUUUUCACAAUGGGCGCAAGCCUGAUGGAGCGACGCCGCGUGGGGAUGAAGGGCUUCGGCUCGUAAACCCCUGUCAUUUGCGAACAAACCCUCACAUUGAACAGGUGUGAGGUUGAUUGUAG